RNAcentral lists this ribosomal RNA (584 nucleotides) under uncultured bacterium. RNAcentral describes it as "bacterial SSU rRNA". It matches the Rfam family "Bacterial small subunit ribosomal RNA", at positions 337 to 911 of the family's 1533-position model. The record is from RNAcentral.
UCCUACGGGAGGCAGCAGUAGGGAAUCUUCCGCAAUGGACGAAAGUCUGACGGAGCAACGCCGCGUGAGUGAUGAAGGCUUUCGGGUCGUAAAACUCUGUUGUUAGGGAAGAACAAGUGCUAGUUGAAUAAGCUGGCACCUUGACGGUACCUAACCAGAAAGCCACGGCUAACUACGUGCCAGCAGCCGCGGUAAUACGUAGGUGGCAAGCGUUAUCCGGAAUUAUUGGGCGUAAAGCGCGCGCAGGUGGUUUCUUAAGUCUGAUGUGAAAGCCCACGGCUCAACCGUGGAGGGUCAUUGGAAACUGGGAGACUUGAGUGCAGAAGAGGAAAGUGGAAUUCCAUGUGUAGCGGUGAAAUGCGUAGAGAUAUGGAGGAACACCAGUGGCGAAGGCGACUUUCUGGUCUGUAACUGACACUGAGGCGCGAAAGCGUGGGGAGCAAACAGGAUUAGAUACCCUGGUAGUCCACGCUGUAAACGAUGGGCACUCGGUGCCGCGGGUGUUGACCCCCGCGGUGCCUUAGCUAACGCGUUAAGUGCCCCGCCUGGGGAGUACGGCCGCAAGGUUAAAACUCAAAUGAAUU